UGCAGUCGGACGGGAUUGAGGAGCUUGCUUCUCAUGAGAGUGGCGCACGGGUGCGUAACACGUAUGUAACCUACCUUGUUCAGGGGGAUAGCCUCUCGAAAGAGAGAUUAACACCGCAUAAAAUCAAUUUAUGGCAUCAUAGAAUGAUCAAAUAUUUAUAGGAACAAGAUGGGCAUGCGGAACAUUAGCUAGUUGGUAAGGUAACGGCUUACCAAGGCUACGAUGUUUAGGGGAUCUGAGAGGAUGACCCCCCACACUGGUACUGAGACACGGACCAGACUCCUACGGGAGGCAGCAGUAAGGAAUAUUGGUCAAUGGACGCAAGUCUGAACCAGCCAUGCCGCGUGCAGGAAGGCGGCCCUACGGGUUGUAAACUGCUUUUGUACCGGAAUAAACCUUUUCACGUGUGAGAAGCUGAAUGUACGGUAAGAAUAAGGAUCGGCUAACUCCGUGCCAGCAGCCGCGGUAAUACGGAGGAUCCAAGCGUUAUCCGGAUUUAUUGGGUUUAAAGGGUGCGUAGGUGGCCUAUUAAGUCAGGGGUGAAAGACGGUAGCUUAACUAUCGCAGUGCCUUUGAUACUGAUGGGCUUGAAUACACUUGAGGUAGGCGGAAUGUGACAAGUAGCGGUGAAAUGCAUAGAUAUGUCACAGAACACCAAUUGCGAAGGCAGCUUACUAAAGUGUUAUUGACACUGAGGCACGAAAGCGUGGGGAUCAAACAGGAUUAGAUACCCUGGUAGUCCACGCCCUAAACGAUGAAUACUCGAUGUUGGCGAUAUACGGUCAGCGUCUAAGCGAAAGCGUUAAGUAUUCCACCUGGGGAGUACGCCCGCAAGGGUGAAACUCAAAGGAAUUGACGGGGGCCCGCACAAGCG
This 874-nucleotide ribosomal RNA is filed under the name uncultured bacterium. RNAcentral's name for it is "bacterial SSU rRNA". It matches the Rfam family "Bacterial small subunit ribosomal RNA", at positions 56 to 931 of the family's 1533-position model. The record is from RNAcentral.